Long non-coding RNA from Silurus meridionalis, 192 nucleotides. RefSeq lists it as uncharacterized. The record is from RefSeq and is a predicted model, not a curated record. Lineage: Eukaryota; Metazoa; Chordata; Actinopteri; Siluriformes; Siluridae. The transcript is spliced from 3 exons.
CCAUCUACCGAACAGCAGCGAGCAAUUGACAGCAAGAAUCACAUACGAUUAUUUCUAAACCCAGUAAAGCUUGAGUGUGAAGAAUCCUGUACCGUGUUUUUACUGACACGCUGAGGCGAGUACAAUCUUCUGAUCAGCGCACACUAUCUGAGAUGAGGCGGGUAGACGAUGAAAUAAUGCAGGAAGUCACAG